RNAcentral lists this ribosomal RNA (460 nucleotides) under uncultured bacterium. RNAcentral's name for it is "partial 16S ribosomal RNA". It matches the Rfam family "Bacterial small subunit ribosomal RNA", at positions 338 to 795 of the family's 1533-position model. The record is from RNAcentral.
CCUACGGGGGGCAGCAGUGAGGAAUAUUGGUCAAUGGACGAGAGUCUGAACCAGCCAAGUAGCGUGAAGGAUGACUGCCCUAUGGGUUGUAAACUUCUUUUAUAUGGGAAUAAAAUGUUCCACGUGUGGGAUUUUGGAUGUACCAUAGGAAUAAGGAUCGGCUAACUCCGUGCCAGCAGCAGCGGUAAUACGGAGGAUCCGAGCGUUAUCCGGAUUUAAUGGGUGUAAAGGGAGCGUGGGUGGAUUGUUAAGUCAGUUGUGAAAGUCUGGGGCUCAAACGUGAAAUUGCAGUUGAAACUGGCAGUCUGGAGUGCAGUAGAGGUGGGGGGAAUUCGUGGUGUAGCGGUGAAAUGCUUAGAUAUCACGAAGAAAUCCGAUUGCGAAGGCAGCUCACUGGACUGCAACUGACACUGAGGCUCGAAAGUGUGGGUAUCAAACAGGAUUAGAUACCCUGGUAGUC